This 265-nucleotide long non-coding RNA is filed under the name Coturnix japonica (Japanese quail). Its description in RNAcentral is "lncRNA (ENSCJPG00005008186.1)". The record is from RNAcentral. Lineage: Eukaryota; Metazoa; Chordata; Aves; Galliformes; Phasianidae.
CCUCUCUAGGCAACCUGUUCCACUGCCUCCCUACCCUUACAGAGUACCAACCAUCUGCAUAAAUCAGAGAUAAUAAAAACAAGAUCUUCAAAAGGAGAAACAGCUUUGAGAACAGUACUUGUUGUUAAUGAUGAAUGAAAAAAGAAGUUGAAGGACAGGCAAACUGGUUAAAACGAAGUAGGCCUCUUGUACUGCUGGUUUGAAUCACCUGUUAGACACCCAGUGUGAUGCAGGAAAGUGGGUGGCUGCAGGCUCAGAAACUUAU